UGCUAAGGUAGCAUAAUCACUUGUUUCUUAAUUGGUAACUGGAAUGAAAGGUUGAACUGGCCUAGCGAGUAUGUAGGUUUAAAUAGAAAAUUAAAGUCUGGGUAAUAAUUCUUAGAUAUUUUAGGGGACGAUAAGACCCUAUAAGCUUGAUAAAUUUACAAUUGAUUUUGUACUUCAAGUUAGUUUGUUUUACUGGGGUGGUACUGGUACUUUAACUAUCAGGUAAGUUAAGAUCCUUUAAAUAAAGAUGAGACGGAUAAGUUACUUUAGGGAUAACAGUGCAAUAUUUUUGGAGAGAUCUUAUCGAUAGGUAUGUUUGCAACCUCGAUGUUGAAUUA
This 338-nucleotide ribosomal RNA is filed under the name Acanthogammarus lappaceus. RNAcentral describes it as "partial 16S ribosomal RNA". It matches the Rfam family "Bacterial large subunit ribosomal RNA", at positions 1949 to 2539 of the family's 2925-position model. Lineage: Eukaryota; Metazoa; Arthropoda; Malacostraca; Amphipoda; Acanthogammaridae. The record is from RNAcentral.